Gallus gallus (chicken) is the source of this 1775-nucleotide long non-coding RNA. NCBI's taxonomy places the organism in Eukaryota, Metazoa, Chordata, Aves, Galliformes, Phasianidae. The record is from Ensembl.
AUAAAUAAUUAAGCUUGACUUCAAAUAAAAAGAUGAAAUUAGCCCUUCUCCCCCUGUACUAUAAUCUUUUUUCUUUACGAUUUUCCAGCAGAAUGACAAUCCUGUACUCUUGCUAGGAAACAAUGCUAGGAAUUAUCACAUAAGAGCUCUCUUCAUUUUAGUCCUCUUGCAAGAUAGAUGCCGUGGAUGUACACAACGAAAUUUAAAAGGCUUUUCAUCAGGUUUCAUCCUCUAUUUCUACAGUAAAUUCAACAAGCUACAGUAGUUUAAUACAGAAACGUAGAUGUACAUAAAAAGCUGGAGGGAACGGUGUAUGUUAUAAUGCUGUUAUAAAACUGUCUGCGAUAUUAACACACACUGUAUAUUAAAUACACAAAACUGUUACAAUAACUUGAAGGUUGAGACAAACUCGUGAAAACAAAUAAAUUCUUCAGGACACCAGGCAAAAGGUUGUUCUUGGCAGAAAGAUUUAAAUACAGUUAUUCAGCAGUCCAAAUUAACUCCCCCAAAUAAAAAACGUUCUUCCGCUAGUCAUGUUGAGUAAAUCCAUGCACAAAAUUCUCCAGGGAGUUUUUUCACCUUAUAUAAGUUUAGAAUCAAAAUUUAUGCUUUGGAGAGGGCAUUCUCCCUGCGUAUAGGAAGAGUAAACGGAUGUUCCGCAGAGCAGUUCAGAACUAAAGCCUAAUCCUAGUAUUCUCUGAUGCUCUGUGGAGGAGCCUUUCUCUCUCUACUGAUUAUAUGGAGAUUAAUGGCUUUAAGUUGUGCCAGGGAAAAUUCAGGUUGGACAUUAGGAAAUACUUCUCCUUCAAAAGAGUGGUCAGGUGCUGGAAUGGGCUGCCCAGGGAGCUGGUGGAAUCACCGACCCUGGAGGUAUUCAAGGAACGUUCAGACAUUGUGCUGAGGGACAUGGUUUAAUGAGAACUGUUGCUGAUGGGUGGACAGUUGGACUGGAUGAUCUCAGAGGUCUUUUCCAACCUUGGUGAUUCUAUGACUCUAUGAUUAACCUGUAAGAACUGUUAUGAGUGAAGAGUCCCAAGACAAACAGAGUAUUUGCCCUGCUAAGCUGGCAACAGUUUGCAACACUUGCAAAUGUUUGGGUUUUAUUUGAUUUUUAUUUAAGCACAAAAAAUCUUGUUAGUGGUUUUUUGUUUUGUUUUGUUAUGUACCACAAAGAGCCCAAGAAGGAAAGAAAUUCCAGUUAAAUCUGCAAGAAACAUAAACAUUACCUUUACCUGUAUUCAGACAAUGCAUUAAAAACACCACCAUCCACUAAAUGAUAUAUUUGGGGAUCUACAAUUUAAGGACUUUUAGCAAUUCAAGAUUUGUUUUAAAAUUCUCACUUUUGACUGAAAUUUCUGAGCAACAGUAAUGAGAGGGAACAUGGAAUUCUAAAACUAAAUCCGGGUAAGGUAUUUGUCUCAGAAGUAUUAUACAUCUGCAGUGAAAUGCCCACCACACAGAAGUCUGUUUUUUACAUCAACAGAGCAAAAUAGUCACUGAAUUAAUUGAGAAUCUAAGGGGAAACAUGCCACCCUAGGCUCCUUUGCCUAGACCUGUACUAACUCUACUAAAAAAGUACAGAUGAUGUCAGAGGUCUUCUUAGUCACACCAAGCCCACCCACAAGUCUACAAAAUGAGUGUCAAAAGAAAGAAACAAGCAGCUGGGAAAUGUAACCCUUCCAAACAUUCUCAAUCUCCAGAAGCCACUACAGAUUUAUACCAGUAUAAGCAAUGUAAAAAUACUUACAUUGUCUGCAUCAUGGUUUUGCUCAAUU